GACGAACGCUGGCGGCGUGCUUAACACAUGCAAGUCGAACGGAAAGGCCCUGCUUUUGUGGGGUGCUCGAGUGGCGAACGGGUGAGUAACACGUGAGUAACCUGCCCUUGACUUUGGGAUAACUUCAGGAAACUGGGGCUAAUACCGGAUAGGAGCUCCUGCUGCAUGGUGGGGGUUGGAAAGUUUCGGCGGUUGGGGAUGGACUCGCGGCUUAUCAGCUUGUUGGUGGGGUAGUGGCUUACCAAGGCUUUGACGGGUAGCCGGCCUGAGAGGGUGACCGGCCACAUGGGUACUGAGAUACGGCCCAGACUCCUACGGGAGGCAGCAGUGGGGAAUAUUGCACAAUGGGCGGAAGCCUGAUGCAGCAACGCCGCGUGCGGGAUGACGGCCUUCGGGUUGUAAACCGCUUUCGCCUGUGACGAAGCGUGAGUGACGGUAAUGGGUAAAGAAGCACCGGCUAACUACGUG
Molecule: ribosomal RNA, 468 nt
Filed under: uncultured bacterium
Lineage: Bacteria
Description: partial 16S ribosomal RNA
Rfam family: Bacterial small subunit ribosomal RNA
Source: RNAcentral